This 83-nucleotide unclassified non-coding RNA is filed under the name Cimex lectularius (bed bug). Its description in RNAcentral is "U4 spliceosomal RNA". It matches the Rfam family "U4 spliceosomal RNA", at positions 1 to 82 of the family's 138-position model. From Rfam's summary of the family: U4 small nuclear RNA (U4 snRNA) is a component of the major U2-dependent spliceosome. The structure of U4 snRNA from yeast and human has been reported. U4 snRNA presents a k-turn RNA motif in the 5p-SL related to recognition of Snu13 protein. The record is from Rfam by way of RNAcentral. Lineage: Eukaryota; Metazoa; Arthropoda; Insecta; Hemiptera; Cimicidae.
AACCUUGCGCAGUGGCAAUAUCGUAAUCAAUGAAGUUCUACUGAGAUGCGAUUAUUGCUAGUUGAAACUAUUGUCCAAUAAAA